This is a non-coding RNA of Xyrichtys novacula (pearly razorfish), 10022 nucleotides long. The record is from the annotation of a GenBank genome assembly. NCBI's taxonomy places the organism in Eukaryota, Metazoa, Chordata, Actinopteri, Labriformes, Labridae.
UCACAAUGUUCCCUACAGUAAGGCUGUCUCAUGAAAAAAGGACCAACCUUAAAACCUUUACCAGUGAGUGCACAGCGGGACCAGUCCGCCUCUCUCACACUUCCCCAGGGCCCUGAAACUUUUCAUCCGGCUUCUAUUUAUAGCUCCUCUCCUGACAGUGUGGGACGCAUUUAGAGUGAUGCAUAAGAUGCAAACAUUGAGCCUUUGUGUGAGCACAUGAUGCUCUGAGCUGAAGAGCAGACAGAACAGGAUGGUCCCUUCGCUUGGUACGUCUCAGAGACUGACCUCUGAGCUCCAUCGGUGUCUCUACAGAGAACACAGAUACAAUGUCUAGAGCUUCCUGAACAAGAGAUUUACCCACUUCUCUUUUUCAUAUUUGAACAAAAGAACCAAGACACACGGUAAGACGUGUACACUGGCCAUUUGGAUACCUACUAAGAGCAGAAGUGCUUUUCAAGUGCAGCUUUCUUUUUAAAAAGGAUCGAAUGAGUGAAGGUCAGCUUAGGUUUUAUUCCCCCCGCGGGAAUAUAUUAUAUUUCCAGCAAAGCAUAAAACAUGAACUAAACUAAAGGGCAAAAGCACAGUUACGCCUUGCUGAAAUGCCAUCAUGCACUAAUGUAUUUCACCUACUUACCACACAGUCUUAAAAAGCACAAACUUUCAUGCACAAAUAAAGAAAUAUCAAUUAUGGCAGCUUCUCCUGAGAGAAAGCUAUGGAAUCAGCAAUUUCAGCAAUUCGAAAGGCACAGCAGCAGUAACAUGAGUGAAAAAACAACAUAGGCCUACUCUCAGUUAAGGAUAUAAUAUCUGUAAUAUGUGAAAAGGAGUUGUGGAUCCACUUCAAAAAUAGCAUCAGAGGGAUAAAAGCACACAUUUUCCCUCUCAAGUGUCAAAUAAAAAUGACAAGUAGCAUGGUGGUAUUCACAUUAGGACUGUCUCUUAUCAUAAUUGUGCUGAUUCAUCGUGUAAUACUCGAAGACUCCUUACGCCGCCCAACAAACCCCAUCAUGGUGAAUCAAAUCCUACGUCCUCCCCGUACCCCUCCUGUUACAGACACCUGCGUUAUCUCUGCCUGUGAAGACACAACACACAGGGAGUUAAACAUGUGGGAGGACAGUGAGUUUGUCUGUAUCAGUGGGUGUAGUAUUUCUGACAGGUUUAUGUGGGGAAGCGUUCCCGGCCUUGAAGAAAAGCGUCAACAGGAUUUAUAAUCCUCCACGCAGACACUCAGAGCAUCGUAUCUUUCUUUAUUCUAGCAACAAACAUGAGACGCAUGUAGGAAUCCAGGGUCAAACACCACCUGUGGGGUCAGGCUCCUGUAAGGGGAUUUAUGUUUGCACUUGUUGUUUCAGUUUCGACUAGUGGGUAGAGAUUGAGGAAGUUAAAUGUAGAUUCUGGGGCAGUUUUCGCUCCUGGACUUUGAACUUUAGAGUCACCCGAAACCCAAACACCACUACAGAGUAGGUAAAUAUUUGCUUUUACCCCUUUACUUUCCUUUUUUCUUUGGAUGCUGUCUACAGCUCUUUUAUCUGUUUACAAGAGCAGCAUGUCCUGCAUUUAUCCUGUUGUGUCUGUAGUGUAGAUUGUGUAUUUAUAUCCAAGUUUAAAGGAUAUAAUCAAGGACUCAGAUUUAGACUCAACACGGAUAAAAAGUACGGUUUCUAAAGGAUGUUGUGGCCUUAAAAAUACUUGACAUCUCUCCUUGAAAGCUGCUCAAAGCUCAGCAUGAGUCAGUUAACGAGAAAAAGGCCCAACACAUUUGAAGCAUCAUAUCAGCUUAGCUAUAUGAUCAAAAUCUGAAAACAGAAGGACAGAUGGAGAGAAAAGGCGGCAGAAAGACGUGUUCACACCAAACCUCCAGACAUCAGAUCUGACGGUUGUCGUGCGAUGUGAACAGAAAUAGCUCAAAGUCUGCUCUUUUCAUCCCGGAUUACACCGCAUCCGCGUGAUUUUCAGAUGAAGUCAUCCUUUACUCUUUAUUUUGACUGGGAAGGCAUAAAGAAAGCUCUUAAUGAAUAGAAGCAACCACUAAAAGCAAACGCGUGGGAAAGCUUCAGGACUACAUUCAAAGGAGCAGCUUUGGCUGUCAAACAUUUUCAUGACACACUUCUAUUGUGGUUUAAAUUUGGAUGUAGGUCAUCGAGGGCCUGUUAAAACUGAUAGCGGGCAUGACUGACAUCAGGAAAAAUGGCACCUGAUCAAAACAAAGACACACACAGUAAAGAAAAAACAACACAGAUCAUCAAUGACUCUUUGAAUUCUGCCACUCCUGCAGUUGUUGCAUUUGGCUGCUUGUCCAGGUUAACCAGUCACCUGUUAAAUAGUUUAAAUCAUCCUCUACACUCUUACUUUGCACUCAAUCCCCCCACUCACAUAUUUAGGGAAUGUUUUUAUUGCAGUAAGGGGGAGGAGGUUGUGACAGGAGGGGGAGUCAGGCUUCAGUAUCGUACAAAAAAAAGCUGCCACACAUGUUCAGCAUGCAGGCGCCGUGUUAACAUCCAUGUGCUGAUAUUCACGUUAGGUUGAUGUAUCAGUUGAUUAAGUAAGCGGUGCAGUUUUGAGUGUUGACAAUGGGGACAAGAGUGAACAUACAUGCACAUUCCUCACUGUGGGGGUGGGGAGGAACCGAAGGAAAAGGGGGGUUUGUUUGUUUUGUCGCUCCCGUGCCUCCAGCCUUUCCACGGCCUCCAGCUUUGCGACCUCCACAGCCAGGAAAGAUCAGUGAUUACAAUCAACACUAAUCCCUGAUAGACACCAACAGAAGAUACUCUAAUCCCCGCUCUGACAGUCAUCCAUAAAAACCUGAUCCUGCAAGGUGUCGGACAAGGUGAGCCCUCUGUGAUUUAUGACUCGGGAACGAUCGGUGACCCGUGAUGUGGUGGACAAAGAGCUGUUGACUGAAAGCUGCAGUUGAGAUUUCCACAAAAGGCAAACAUCUUAAUUCAUGUUAAUGGACUUCGGAUGUGCUCAGGAAGUAACAAUAAACUCCAGUCUUUCAGGGCGCAGCUAAUCGCCCAUAACUUUGGGGAGCGGUAGCCGGAGCAGAAAGCUUUUUUCAUGGUGUCAUGUUUGUGCUUGCUCAGGCGCUUUUCAUCGACACACUUUAACCUUGACUGUCAGACAACACAUAAUAUUAAUAUAUGAGAGUUAUAAAUAGCACAGUCCGGCCUCAGGCGGUGCAGGCUAAUAGUUGAGUUGUGCGCUAUGUUUAUCCAAAUGUUCAAUAUGUGUUCACAAUGACAACAUGCUGCAGGGACUCGUAUCGACAUGAAGGAAAAUUACUGUCAGCCCAAGCAGAAGAAGAGGGAUCUGGAUGUCUCUACAGAGGACAAACACUCUGUUGAACUCAGCCAGAGCUCAGCCCUGAGGAUAGCCAACCAUCCGUGCAUUUGUUCUCUAUUAACCUUGCUCAGAGGUACAACAACCAGCUGAGACUGGCCAGCAUCAUGUCAGAGACCUUGAUCUCUUUCUGCGGUCUGUCACAGUGAAUUUCAGCCAGCAUUGACAGGCAGAGAGAAUCAAUAAUUGUUUACGGCUCUUAUAAAAAGUCCAUUAGGCAUCUGCUUGAAACGUCUGUUCUUCUAACCUGAUCUGUUAGUGGUCAGAGAGGCCGCGCAGGAGCAGAGCUCAUAUCAAUUUAGCAUCAUGCAAAAUUCUGAAUCAGGUUAAAUUCCAGGAAUUAAUCAUUUAGCCAGAGUAACUGACUGUGAUGCCUCGUGCCUGUCCAGAACAGUAUGAUUAUUUUAAUGUGAGUAUUUCUCACUCUGUAAUAAGACAUCUUUACCUAUGAAAUUUGAUCUAUAUGAGGUGCAGAGAUUUAAAAAAACAUGCAAAAAAUACCUUAAACAUCAAAACUGAGAGGCUACAACAAAUAUUUCACAUAAGUUUUAAAAAUGUAUUCAUGUUCCCAAAAUAUGUUUGUCUUUUUUAUUUAUUUGUAUUAAUACUUUCAAAAUGUAUUUGCAUUACAAAAUUCAAUUCUUAUUUUAUUUCUCAUUAGUGUUCAUGUAAAAUACUUUUAUAUGUUUUGUGAAAUAUAUUUUAUCACCUUUCUAAAAUAGUUGUGACUUUGACCUUCAGGGCCACCGUACACCCUGAUAGCAGAUGCUGCUAUGUAAGGUGUGCAUCAGAUUUUUACUAAUUCCAUUCACACACCACUGGACACUAUCAGGGGAGCAGGUGGGUCAAAUCCCCUGACCAAGAACACCUCAGCUUGUGGACGGCAGGACCUUAAAUCAAACCCUUUUGAUUGGGCCUCCAAAUCUGUUAAGCGACUAAAAAAUCAGGUAAGGAUCAGCUGGUAUUUGCACAUCAUUAAUCAUAUCAUUAAAUGGAUUACAUAAAGCUACUCCUGAGAUAUUCUUAAUAUUGAUUGUUUAUAGUUGUAUUUCCCUGCUUGUCAUGUUCCUCUUUGUUUUAAGAGGUGCAUUCAGCUUCUCUGAGUUUAGUACUGCUACUGCCAAGUCAGUAGAUGAGCACUAAUUCCUGUCAUGUGUCUUGAGUGUAGAGUGAACUUUGCACACACUUCUGUCCCUGAAAUAGAUGAUGAGAUAAAUUUCCUGCAGAAAUAAGGAUUAAAGAAAAACACAGCCAUUGCUCAGGAGAAAUAAAAAAUAAGCCACGAGAGAGUAAAGACAGGAAGGUUACUGGUGGUCCUAUUUGAAUAAAAUGGAUAUCUCUAGUUAGUAAAGCUCAGUCUCCGUCAGAUCUCGCUGAGAAAUGCAGUGUCUGAUUGUGGGAGUUGACACAAUGCCAGGUUUGUGUGUGUGAAAACUCGGGGACAAAGCCAGGUAUGACAGCUGGUGCCCGUGUUGACUCACAGCUACUACCACGACCCCACGUUGAUACAUUUGCAAAACAAAACAACGGCCCUCUACACUCGACACACCGUAUAUUCCACCCUGCACUCUCACUGAUGCAGAAAACAACCGCAAUACCUGUAAACAGUCCUUUCCUCUAACUUUGUUGACGUCUUGUAAUACCUCCACUUCUCAUACUGUGUUGCAGUAUGGGGAUUCCUACAUGUCAGCUUUCUUCAAUUUAGUGGAUGUCCCCGCAGCUUGAGUGUUUUGACAUCCCUCUCUUAUUUCUAUGCUGCUUUCUCACCUGGUCUCACCUGUCUACUGUAAACCAUUAACCACAAAUAUAAAAGUUUAGUGGUCUUUAAAUUAAUACAAAGUUUUAUUUAAAAUAUCCACCAUGAUGUCCAAAAUUACUAUAGGAUUUUGAUAUUGAUUUUUGACCAAUCAGAAUCAAGUUUGUAACACAACUACGCAGUGUGUAGAAAAGCCUGAUAAUAAAAUGACAAUAAGUUUUUAGAAAUUCGCCAAUUAGCGCAUAUCUUAGUUACAUAUAAUACAGGGAAAUUACAAAUUCUUUUGCCUGCUAUAUGGAAAAUAUGACAAAAAUGUAACAUACCAUAUCUUUUUAAACAGUGUUGUUACAUAUACUGUUACUAUAUAGGCUUACAUAAGCAUAAUGAAAAAAGCCAGUGUAGUAUUACCAUUGUGUAUUCUUUUCACUGUACCGUCUGGUGGCUCGUACUCCUCCAACCCCCCUCCAGUACUCCCCUACUUUCUUUCUUUCUUUGUUUAUAUUUUUCCUCUGUCACUCUCUCUCUCUCUCUCUCUCUCUCUCCUUCUAUCCACAUGCGCUUAGAGAAACACGCUGGUGACCGUGCAGAUGUGAGUGUGGCUUGUUUUAGCUGUGCUGUUUGGCCCUUUUGUGUCAGCAAUACAGCAGCAAUUGUUCCAGCUAAACAAUGAUUUUUUUUUUUUUAAAGUGCUGUUGGUGCAUCACAUUGUAGUAAAUGAGAAUUAACCGUGUUUAAGUCCAAAGAGAAAUGAGAAAAAGUCUAAAAGAAUUAAUUCAUUUGCUAUGAAAAGCUACACCAAAACAGUCCUGUGUGUAUAAUAAUUAGACAAUACAACAAAAGGUUUGAUCUCUGCUCCAUUAUUUAUCCAUUACUGGUAAUAGAGAGAUUAAUGGAAAGCAUUUGAGAAAGCCUUUUUACAAUAAUUUAUAUCAGUGCCCUCAUCUGCACCUGUCUGUAAAGAUCUCCAGCUGCUUUUUAGUACAGUGCUCCCAGAAUUACAGCUUUCCCACUAAACUGCAAGAUGACAAAAUUCAUUAAGACUUUAAAAAGAUCUUUUUUAAGAUUACUGACUCAGGGGUGAACCUUGUAGGCCUCUGCUCACCAUCAUACUCUGUAAUUUGUCUUUAAAGACAAGAGCCCUCUCGUAUUUCCUUGAUAUUUCCCAAAGGAGAGAAGAUAUUGAAUCAUGGAUUUCAUGCAGCUAACCUGCCAUCUGCCUAAUUGCCUAAGAACAGAUCCACAUUCUUAGUUUUUCUGGAAGAAAAGGACAUAAAAAUAAACAUGACCAGUACAUACACCGAUAGGACUGUUUGUUCUGGCACUCUGAACUGAGAAAACUUCCACAUCUCUUGACCCAACAUCGUUUACUUAUAACAGUAUGCAUCCUUACAUGACAAAGUACCAAAUGACAACAAUUUCACCGCACAGACUGUGACGACUGAAUUCUCAGAUUCUUUAAAUACCAGUCAAACUCAACACAUGCUCGUUGUUUGAAUAAUAAUAGUGAGAUAUUUUACAUACAUCCUUUCUACCUUCUCAUGAGACACGCCUUUUUUUUCCUAUUCUUGAUCUUCCUUUACUUUCCCUUCCUCUCUCUUCCUCAUCCUUACACUCAACUUUUCUCUUGCUCUUAGCAGGAUUCAAACCAGCCAACCAUUUCUUUCAAAGGCAGCAGUCCUAUCCAUCCCAGCACAGGUCUGCCUGGCAGUGCUCACUUUUCGAGGUCUUUUCAUUUCACCAUAUUGCUUUGUUGAUCAAAAGCACAGCGCAGUGCUGCAGUUUGAGGCAAUUUUUUCAAUUUUAUCCCAGAAAAAUAAGUCACUUCCCCAGCUUGGAUAUUACAACCAGAACUCUUUGACUGUGAGGGAGGACCACUACACCACCAUGGAAGGAUUCCCUUUUUUUAAGGUUUCACUACCUUCCGGUUAAUUCAAAAACUUUUCCCAUCUUCAAACAGUCUGGACUUGAACCCACAACUCUUGGACCAUCAUGCAGGAACCUUAACCACUUUACCACUGGGCUGCUUGUUAGGUUUUCUGUUUUAGAGGUUCCAUUACCUCCCUGUUCAUUCAGGAAAUCUAAAAGAUUUUCCAAACAUCAUAUAGACAGACCCGAACCUGAUUUGAACUUAAAACUUUUGGAGUGGGAGGCAAACACAUUAACCGCUACACCACUGUGGUGCCUGGAAAGUUUCACUUUUCAAGGUUCUUCUACUUUCCUGUUCAUUCUGUUAAAUAAAAACAUUUUUCCCAACUUGACGAUGGCUGCAUAAGAGCAUUUCUCAGGCUUUAUCUUGAAGGAAGGAUGACACAUCUACUCAAAAGACAAAAAAAUGCAAAUCUGGGUUUUGAACCAUGUGCCGUAAAGUUUUAAUCACCAGGAAAAUUUCUAAACUCUUUAAAUUUAGAUAAUUUGCAAACAAAUUUCUCAGGUUUUUACAGCAUUUGCAAAUGUUUAAAAUAAAUAUCCAAAGAGUAAGUUACAUUUUAGUUUUAAAUCUAAUGUUCCUGAGUACAAAACAGAAACAGCUUUAUGUCAGAACAUCAUGCUAUGAUGUUUGUACCUUGCUCUAGGGGUUGGGGUAGUUGCACGUGUCAGAUGAAGUGAAGGGAAAUGGCUAAUGGCAAGGAUUCUCCAUUAUGAUUGAAGUCCAGUGGGGGCUGGUGGAACCGGGGAAGUCUGGUACUCAUCUUCCCCCAGGGAGACAGAAACACAGUGGGAGUUAUUUCAAUUAGUCAAGUAGAGCCGCAACAAAGAGCCCAACCUGCUCCUUGCCACAGCGCAGCCUGGACAGAGACGGCUAAUCAUAUCAGGGUGGGGAUAAUGCACUUGAGAGAUGACAGACCAGGGUGGGUUAUAGAACAUGUUACAAGUGUCAGUCACUUACAGGGAUUUGAAUUCAUUGUCUGAUAAGUCUUUUGGUGGUAAAGAGGGCACAGAUUCAAAAAGAAGCUGGGGGUAUAAAGCUGCUGAGUAUUGAGGGAUGUUGUUGGGGCAUAACACAUAAUAUACUCUAUUUAUGAUACGCUCAAAAAGGUAGAUUUAUCUUUUGACUUGGCUUCAAACAUGACAGUAACCUGAUCAAUUCACUGUCUGAUCCAAGGAUUGAGAGUCUGAGCUUUGUGAGUCUCUUUCUUGCUUUUUGAAGAUAAUAGUCUCUGGGAAGCUUUGUUGUUCACAGGUCCUUUUUUUGCUGUCACUUCAAAGCCGUGUACAAUCUGGGCCAGAGGGGAUUUUAGCUUGGCUUGACCAGGCACACUUCUGCGCCCCUUUUCAUGUUUGGCACUUCAUUUCUUCUCUCUGACAAGCAGUGGGAGCUGACUCUGGGGGCCCCCCAAGCACUAAUUACAGGUCACCAUGUCAACUAAGAGGGGUUCUCCCCACUUUUAAACCUGUGACAUCUCAAGAGGGAGGAAGAGGCUUUGGCAUACAAUGAAUUUAUCUUAAUAUACAUGGAAAUGAAGUAUGCAUUAUUAAAGCCCAGCUGUUGUCCUUUAAGAGCCUGUACAUCUUCUUGCUUACGUCAUGUUGUCAUUCCUGAGUAUGAUCUUGGCUUCCCACGCUCCAACUUCUUUCGUCCAAGAUUUAAUAAAAAGAUAGUCGCAUACAAGCAUAACUGUUUUAAAAAGAGGUCUGCUUUAUUGACCAUUUUUCAUGGCCAUCUAAGAGCCAGUGAUGUCAAUGUUAUUUAACACCACAGUCAAGCAGGGGAGGUGAUGAAAUUUAUUGCAUUUUAUUAAAUAUUUCAAUUCCCUUUUUGAAAUCACUGAAAGAUCUGAGGCAAAUUUACACUGAAUUUGCAUUUGACCUCUGCAGAAGCCUAGAUUUGUAGCUUGGCAUGCACCCUCACAAAAAUUUUAAGCGAGUCAUAGCAAAGCAGGCUGUAUUUGCCCCAAUUCUUAUAUUUCUCUUGUCCUAUGCCCACACUGAUUAAAUAGCUGUACAUCCUAUCUUAUCUCAUUUCUCUUUAUUUUGAGUAUUUGAAUUAAUUUUUGAAAGAUCAGCAGCUGAUCAACAUUUUUCAGCUCCAACUCCAGCAUGAUACGCUUGGACUCUGUCACCACUAAUUUCCUGUACACAAACAAGCCGUAAAUUUAGAGCAACCAGACACUGGAAAUGUGGCAAUUUAUACAGCCAAAUCAGCAUUUGUGUGGAGUAUUCAUAGUUGUGUAGGCCACUACAGCUUGAAGUCAUCGUAGAAGUAUAAAUCAGGCUUUAGUUUGAAACCUGAUCCCAAACCAGACGAUAAAUAUCAUACAAAUAGCUCCUCUCCUUCUUGUUUGCAUUUGUAGGUCAUGAAUAGGCUAAUAAAGUAAGCCUGUUUAUCGAUCAGCUAAAAGUAAACAAAACAUCUUUGACUCUAUUUGGCUUACUUAAUCUAAUUUUAAUUGAAUAAACUGAUAAACCUUACUUACAACAUGCACUUUAUACUGUCAUCUUAAUAUUAACAUUCAUUUUGAGCCUGCAUUGUCAUAAUUGUAUACUAUAUUACCCCUUAAAGUUGCAUUGUAUUCUCCCAAAUGAUAAGACUUAUUUCAUAGUUGCAGAUUUUUUUCUUCCUCACAUUCCUGGUUGGAGGAUGAGGCAUGUAAAAGACAUCCAGCUGCAGGUUGUUUGUGCAAACACCAAAAUAAACGGCCCUAAAUCACUUGGCCAAACUUUAACCGCGUGUUCUUUUAGCAGGCCUAGAUAGGGUUGAUACCGCUGCUGUUCACCCCGCAGACUUCCAAAAUUAAUGCGGCAGAGCUCCAGUUCAGCACAGUUGGGAGGAAUGGAAUGAGAGGCAGCCGUGGGCGAUACCAACUUGGAAUUCCUUGAGGGGAGUUCACUACAAGUACCACAGCAAAGCUUGUGAUUAAAGCUACGCAAAUGAGUUUAACCGUGUAAGUGAGUGUAUUUUAUACUUUAUAUAAUCACAUUUUUUGCU